AGGAUAAACGCUGGCGGCGUGCCUAACACAUGCAAGUCGAACGCUCUUUUCCUUCGCAAGAGGGGGGAGGGAGUGGCGGACGGGUGAGGAACACAUGGGUGACCUACCUUUCAGUGAGGAAUACCGGCGAGAAAUCGCCGACAAUCCCGCAUAGCUUCGGGAACGAAGAAAGCAGCAAUGCGCCUGGGGAUGAGCCUGUGGCCGAUUAGCUAGCUGGUGGGGUAAUGGCUCACCAGGGCGACGAUCGGUAGCUGGUCUGAGAGGAUGAUCAGCCACACUGGGAUUGAGAACGGCCCAGACUCCUACGGGGGGCAGCAGUGAGGAAUCUUCCGCAAUGGGGGCAACCCUGACGGAGCAACGCCGCGUGCAGGAGGACGCUUUUCGGAGUGUAAACUGCUUUUCUCGAGGAAGAAAGCGGACGGUACUCGAGGAAGAAGCCCCGGCUAACUACGUGCCAGCAGCCGC
RNAcentral lists this ribosomal RNA (465 nucleotides) under uncultured bacterium. Its description in RNAcentral is "SSU rRNA". It matches the Rfam family "Bacterial small subunit ribosomal RNA", at positions 26 to 518 of the family's 1533-position model. The record is from RNAcentral.